CCUACGGGUGGCAGCAGUGGGGAAUAUUGCGCAAUGGGCGAAAGCCUGACGCAGCGACGCCGCGUGAGGGAUGAAGGUUUUCGGAUCGUAAACCUCUGUCAGCAGGGAAGAACGGUCACUGUGCUAAUCAGCAGUGAAUUGACGGUACCUGCAAAGCAAGCACCGGCUAACUCCGUGCCAGCAGCCGCGGUAAUACGGAGGGUGCGAGCGUUAAUCGGAAUUACUGGGCGUAAAGCGCUCGUAGGCGGUAUGGCAAGUCAAGGGUGAAAACCCAGGGCUUAACCUGGGAACUGCCUUUGAAACUGGCAAACUGGAGUUUGUGAGAGGAUGGUGGAAUUCCAGGUGUAGGAGUAAAAUCCGUAGAGAUCUGGAGGAAUAUCAGUGGCGAAGGCGACUAUCUGGCACAUAACUGACGCUGAUGAGCGAAAGCGUGGGUAGCAAACAGGAUUAGAUACCCGAGUAGUC
Molecule: ribosomal RNA, 465 nt
Filed under: uncultured bacterium
Lineage: Bacteria
Description: partial 16S ribosomal RNA
Rfam family: Bacterial small subunit ribosomal RNA
Source: RNAcentral